Molecule: ribosomal RNA, 654 nt
Filed under: uncultured bacterium
Lineage: Bacteria
Description: bacterial SSU rRNA
Rfam family: Bacterial small subunit ribosomal RNA
Source: RNAcentral
CCUGGUGGCGAGUGGCGAGCGGGUGAGUAAUAUAUCGGAACGUGCCCAGUAAUGGGGGAUAGCCCGGCGAAAGCCGGAUUAAUACCGCAUACGACCUACGGGUGAAAGCGGGGGAUCGCAAGACCUCGCGUUAUUGGAGCGGCCGAUAUCAGAUUAGCUUGUUGGCGGGGUAAAAGCCCACCAAGGCGACGAUCUGUAGCUGGUCUGAGAGGACGACCAGCCACACUGGGACUGAGACACGGCCCAGACUCCUACGGGAGGCAGCAGUGGGGAAUUUUGGACAAUGGGCGCAAGCCUGAUCCAGCCAUGCCGCGUGUGGGAAGAAGGCCUUCGGGUUGUAAACCACUUUUGUCAGGGAAGAAACGGCCUUUACUAAUAUUAGAGGCUAAUGACGGUACCUGAAGAAUAAGCACCGGCUAACUACGUGCCAGCAGCCGCGGUAAUACGUAGGGUGCAAGCGUUAAUCGGAAUUACUGGGCGUAAAGCGUGCGCAGGCGGCUUUGCAAGACAGAUGUGAAAUCCCCGGGCUCAACCUGGGAACUGCAUUUGUGACUGCAUGGCUAGAGUACGGUAGAGGGGGAUGGAACUCCGCGUGUAGCAGUGAAAUGCGUAGAUAUGCGGAGGAACACCGAUGGCGAAGGCAAUCCCCUGGAC